RNAcentral lists this ribosomal RNA (466 nucleotides) under Vreelandella stevensii. RNAcentral's name for it is "partial 16S ribosomal RNA". It matches the Rfam family "Bacterial small subunit ribosomal RNA", at positions 338 to 795 of the family's 1533-position model. Lineage: Bacteria; Pseudomonadati; Pseudomonadota; Gammaproteobacteria; Oceanospirillales; Halomonadaceae. The record is from RNAcentral.
CCUACGGGCGCGCAGCAGUGGGGAAUAUUGGACAAUGGGCGAAAGCCUGAUCCAGCCAUGCCGCGUGUGUGAAGAAGGCCUUCGGGUUGUAAAGCACUUUCAGUGGGGAAGAAAGCCUUGGGGCUAAUACCCUCGAGGAAGGACAUCACCCACAGAAGAAGCACCGGCUAACUCCGUGCCAGCAGCCGCGGUAAUACGGAGGGUGCGAGCGUUAAUCGGAAUUACUGGGCGUAAAGCGCGCGUAGGCGGUCUGAUAAGCCGGUUGUGAAAGCCCCGGGCUCAACCUGGGAACGGCAUCCGGAACUGUCAGGCUAGAGUGCAGGAGAGGAAGGUAGAAUUCCCGGUGUAGCGGUGAAAUGCGUAGAGAUCGGGAGGAAUACCAGUGGCGAAGGCGGCCUUCUGGACUGACACUGACGCUGAGGUGCGAAAGCGUGGGUAGCAAACAGGAUUAGAUACCCGGGUAGUC